This 131-nucleotide small nucleolar RNA is filed under the name Vicugna pacos (alpaca). Lineage: Eukaryota; Metazoa; Chordata; Mammalia; Artiodactyla; Camelidae. The record is from RNAcentral.
CUUGAGGGCCAUCCCAGUGAUGCUUCUUCUAUAGACCCGCAUCACUGGAAACAUCUCGUGAAGUAACUAUAUGGUUUCCUUUCCUCACAGAACUACAUGCUAGAUCUCUGGGCAAGAACUCCAAGACAGAG